Molecule: ribosomal RNA, 723 nt
Filed under: uncultured organism
Description: bacterial SSU rRNA
Rfam family: Bacterial small subunit ribosomal RNA
Source: RNAcentral
UCGCGGGGUAGAACACUUCGGGUGUUUGAGACCGGCGGACGGGUGAGUAACACGUAGGUAAUCUGCCUGAGGGUUGGGGAUAGCCCAUGGAAACAUGGGGUAAUACCGAAGAUACGUCUUAUCUUACACAAGUGAGAUAAGGGAAAGGUGCUUAGGCACCGCCCACAGAUGAGCCUGCGUCUCAUUAGUUAGUUGGUGGGGUAACGGCCUACCAAGGCAACGAUGAGUAGCCGGCCUGAGAGGGUGAACGGCCACACUGGGACUGAGACACGGCCCAGACUCCUACGGGAGGCAGCAGCUAAGAAUCUUCCGCAAUGGACGAAAGUCUGACGGAGCGACGCCGCGUGUGUGAUGAAGGCGGAAACGUUGUAAAGCACUUUUCCUGGGGAAGAAUAAGGUGAGGAGGUAAUGCCUCAUCGAUGACACGAACUAGGGAAUAAGCCCCGGCUAAUUACGUGCCAGCAGCCGCGGUAACACGUAAGGGGCGAGCGUUGUUCGGAAUUAUUGGGCGUAAAGGGCGUGUAGGCGGCCUGGUAAGUCUGGUGUGAAAGACCGCAGCUUAACUGCGGGACCGCGCUGGAAACUAUCAGGCUAGAGUCUAAGAGGGGGAACUAGAAUUCCAGGUGUACGGGUGAAAUCUGUAGAUAUCUGGAAGAAUACCGGAGGCCGAAGGCGAGUUCCUGGCUAUAGACUGACGCUGACGCGCGAAAGCGUGGGGAGCGA